Molecule: ribosomal RNA, 1232 nt
Filed under: metagenome
Description: SSU rRNA
Rfam family: Eukaryotic small subunit ribosomal RNA
Source: RNAcentral
GGCCUAUUAGGUCUCGUAAUUGGAAUGAGAACAAUUUAAAUACCUUAACGAGGAACAAUUAGAGGGCAAGUCUGGUGCCAGCAGCCGCGGUAAUUCCAGCUCUGAUAGUAUCUAUUAAAGUUGUUGCAGUUAAAAAGCUCGUAGUUUGAAACUUGGGUGCGUAGGGGCGGUCUCUUUUAGAGUACUACCCUGAAACAUCUUUCUUUGGUGUAAACUCUUUAUUCACUUAAGGAGUGUAAACCAAACAUUUACUUUGAAAAAGUUAGAGUGUUCAAAGCAGGCCUUUGCUCGAAUAUAUUAGCAUGGAAUAAUAGAAUAGGACGUAUGGUUCUAUUUUGUUGGUUUCUAGGACCGUCGUAAUGAUUAAUAGGGACGGUCGGAGGCAUCAGUAUUCAGUUGUCAGAGGUGAAAUUCUUGGAUUUACUGAAGACUAACUACUGCGAAAGCAUUUGCCAAGGACGUUUUCAUUAAUCAAGAACGAAAGUUAGGGGAUCGAAGACGAUCAGAUACCGUCGUAGUCUUAACCGUAAACUAUGCCGACUAGGGAUCGGAGGGCGUUAUAAUAACCUCUCCGGCACCUUACGAGAAAUCAAAGUUUUUGGGUUCUGGGGGGAGUAUGGUUGCAAGGCUGAAACUUAAAGGAAUUGACGGAAGGGCACCACCAGGAGUGGAGCCUGCGGCUUAAUUUGACCCAACACGGGGAAACUCACCAGGUCCAGACACAAUAAGGAUUGACAGAUUGAGAGCUCUUUCAUGAUUUUGUGGGUGGUGGUGCAUGGCCGUUCUUAGUUGGUGGAGUGAUUUGUCUGCUUAAUUGCGAUAACGAACGAGACCUUAACCUGCUAAAUAGCUGUAACAAUAGAUUAUUGUUUUGGCAGCUUCUUAGAGGGACUAUCGAUUUUCAAGUCGAUGGAAGUUUGAGGCAAUAACAGGUCUGUGAUGCCCUUAGACGUUCUGGGCCGCACGCGCGCUACACUGACGGAGCCAGCGAGUCUAACCUGUGCCGAGAGGUAUGGGUAAUCUUGUGAAACUCCGUCGUGCUGGGGAUAGAGCAUUGCAAUUAUUGCUCUUCAACGAGGAAUUCCUAGUAAGCGCAAGUCAUCAGCUUGCGUUGAUUACGUCCCUGCCCUUUGUACACACCGCCCGUCGCUACUACCGAUUGAAUGGCUUAGUGAGGCUUCCGGAUUGAUUAGCUGGAGAGGGCAACUUUUCUGGUUGAACGAGAAGCUAGU